CAGUCGCCGCGGGAAAACCGAGGGUGCAAGCGUUAAUCGGAAUUACUGGGCGUAAAGCGCGCGUAGGUGGUUUGUUAAGUUGGAUGUGAAAGCCCCGGGCUCAACCUGGGAACUGCAUCCAAAACUGGCAAGCUAGAGUACGGUAGAGGGUGGUGGAAUUUCCUGUGUAGCGGUGAAAUGCGUAGAUAUAGGAAGGAACACCAGUGGCGAAGGCGACCACCUGGACUGAUACUGACACUGAGGUGCGAAAGCGUGGGGAGCAAACAGGAUUAGAUACCCGCGUAGUCCCUGUCUCUUAUAA
RNAcentral lists this ribosomal RNA (301 nucleotides) under uncultured bacterium. RNAcentral describes it as "partial 16S ribosomal RNA". It matches the Rfam family "Bacterial small subunit ribosomal RNA", at positions 509 to 809 of the family's 1533-position model. The record is from RNAcentral.